GAAAAAGUAACACGCAGGAACUGCUAACUCAUGCUCCCAUGUAUAAAAACAUGGCUUUUUCA
Non-coding RNA from Neogale vison (American mink), 62 nucleotides. Lineage: Eukaryota; Metazoa; Chordata; Mammalia; Carnivora; Mustelidae. The record is from Ensembl.